This 114-nucleotide ribosomal RNA is filed under the name Staphylococcus epidermidis NIHLM053. Its description in RNAcentral is "partial 23S ribosomal RNA". It matches the Rfam family "Bacterial large subunit ribosomal RNA", at positions 2510 to 2623 of the family's 2925-position model. Lineage: Bacteria; Bacillati; Bacillota; Bacilli; Caryophanales; Staphylococcaceae. The record is from RNAcentral.
GGGGAGGUUUGGCACCUCGAUGUCGGCUCAUCGCAUCCUGGGGCUGUAGUCGGUCCCAAGGGUUGGGCUGUUCGCCCAUUAAAGCGGUACGCGAGCUGGGUUCAGAACGUCGUG